CCUACGGGAGGCAGCAGUGAGGAAUCUUUGUCAAUGGCCGAGAGGCUGAACCAGCCAAGUCGCGUGAGGGAAGACGGCCCUACGGGUUGUAAACCUCUUUUGUCGUGGAGCAAAGAGAGUCACGUGUGACUCAUUGAGAGUACCCGACGAAAAAGCAUCGGCUAACUCCGUGCCAGCAGCCGCGGUAAUACGGAGGAUGCGAGCGUUAUCGGGAUUUAUUGGGUUUAAAGGGUGGGCAGCUGGAGGUGAAAGUCAGCGGUCAAAUUGCGGGGCUCAACCCCGUACUGCCGUUGAAACUGCAUCCCUUGAGUGCGCGAGAGGUAAGCGGAAUGCGUGGUGUAGCGGUGAAAUGCGUAGAUAUCGCGCGGAACUCCGAUGGCGAAGGCAGCAUACCGGCGCGCAACUGACGCGCAGGCACGAAAGCGUGGGUAUCGAACAGGAUUAGAUACCCGUGUAGUC
Molecule: ribosomal RNA, 459 nt
Filed under: uncultured bacterium
Lineage: Bacteria
Description: partial 16S ribosomal RNA
Rfam family: Bacterial small subunit ribosomal RNA
Source: RNAcentral